This 253-nucleotide ribosomal RNA is filed under the name uncultured bacterium. RNAcentral's name for it is "partial 16S ribosomal RNA". It matches the Rfam family "Bacterial small subunit ribosomal RNA", at positions 524 to 776 of the family's 1533-position model. The record is from RNAcentral.
UACGUAGGGUGCGAGCGUUAAUCGGAAUUACUGGGCGUAAAGCGUGCGCAGGCGGUUUCGUAAGACAGACGUGAAAUCCCCGGGCUUAACCUGGGAACUGCGUUUGUGACCGCGAGACUAGAGUGCGGCAGAGGGGGGUAGAAUUCCACGUGUAGCAGUGAAAUGCGUAGAGAUGUGGAGGAAUACCGAUGGCGAAGGCAGCCCCCUGGGUCGACACUGACGCUCAUGCACGAAAGCGUGGGGAGCAAACAGG